UGUCUGCAUACCAAUUGUUGCCUCGGCGGAUCAGCCCGCUCCCGGUAAAACGGAACGGCCCGCCAGAGGACCCCUAAACUCUGUUUCUAUAUGUAACUUCUGAGUAAAACCAUAAAUAAAUCAAAACUUUCAACAACGGAUCUCUUGGUUCUGGCAUCGAUGAAGAACGCAGCAAAAUGCGAUAAGUAAUGUGAAUUGCAGAAUUCAGUGAAUCAUCGAAUCUUUGAACGCACAUUGCGCCCGCCAGUAUUCUGGCGGGCAUGCCUGUUCGAGCGUCAUUUCAACCCUCAAGCCCCCGGGUUUGGUGUUGGGGAUCGGCGAGCCUCACGGCAAGCCGGCCCCGAAAUACAGUGGCGGUCUCGCUGCAGCUUCCAUUGCGUAGUAGUAAAACCCUCGCAACUGGUACGCGGCGCGGCCAAGCCGUUAAACCCCCAACUUCUGAAUGUUGACCUCGGAUCAGGUAGGAAUACCCGCUGAACUUAAGCAUAUCAAUAA
This 495-nucleotide ribosomal RNA is filed under the name Fusarium fujikuroi. Its description in RNAcentral is "eukaryotic LSU rRNA". The stretch from base 125 to 278 matches the Rfam family "5.8S ribosomal RNA". Lineage: Eukaryota; Fungi; Ascomycota; Sordariomycetes; Hypocreales; Nectriaceae. The record is from RNAcentral.